AUGGAUGGAUGGAUGGACUUAAAACAAGACACAAGAAGCUUGAGGUACACAUUAAAAGCUGGGGAACCAUGUGAAGAGAGAAGGUGCGUAGCCUCACUGCUACUCACACCCCACUGCAAGGACAAGCAGGAUGUGAUAUACGGCCAUUUCAACUUCACUAUUUCUCUGCUGGCCUUCUGCCAAAGGAGCCAUCGAUGCCUGGAUCUGAGAAGCUCACAUAUUAUCCAAACACCUUACAUGUGUCCCAGCCUAGAUCGAUGCUAAGAGUGUCGUCCUAGAAUCUAAAGAAGACAGCAAAGUCCAUGACCUUUGACGCUUUUUGCUCCAAAGUGCUGCGUUCCAAAAAAUUGAAGUUUACUGACCGAGGAACAAUGCAAAUUUCUUAAGUAACCUGGGUAAGUUCACUAAUGAAAAGGGCUAUUUCAACCUCAGUCCCAGGAAGUCUUCUGGAGUCAGCUUUGGUGCUCUUAGCAAAUCUCCGUUCAGGCUUUCCCAUCCAACACGCAAAGUGUGGAAAUGCCUUAGUUAUCAGUUCAUUGCCGGGUAUGCAUUUUUUUUUUUUUUUUGGAAAGGUAAGUCAGAGUUUCCCUCCAACUUUUCUUGAGAAAAGCUGAAAAAAUGGAAACUUCUUAAGUAAUUGAUUUAGCUUUCCUGAAGCUCCUGAUUCUUGGCAGGUCAGAUAUUGGAAACUGCAAUAAGAUUCCU
This 705-nucleotide long non-coding RNA is filed under the name Felis catus (domestic cat). RNAcentral describes it as "lncRNA (ENSFCAG00000046301.2)". Lineage: Eukaryota; Metazoa; Chordata; Mammalia; Carnivora; Felidae. The record is from RNAcentral.